This 1030-nucleotide ribosomal RNA is filed under the name Salmonella enterica subsp. enterica serovar Typhimurium. Its description in RNAcentral is "partial 23S ribosomal RNA". It matches the Rfam family "Bacterial large subunit ribosomal RNA", at positions 598 to 1547 of the family's 2925-position model. The record is from RNAcentral. Lineage: Bacteria; Pseudomonadati; Pseudomonadota; Gammaproteobacteria; Enterobacterales; Enterobacteriaceae.
UGCGUACCUUUUGUAUAAUGGGUCAGCGACUUAUAUUCUGUAGCAAGGUUAACCGUAUAGGGGAGCCGGAGGGAAACCGAGUCUUAAUUGGGCGUUAAGUUGCAGGGUAUAGACCCGAAACCCGGUGAUCUAGCCAUGGGCAGGUUGAAGGUUGGGUAACACUAACUGGAGGACCGAACCGACUAAUGUUGAAAAAUUAGCGGAUGACCUGUGGCUGGGGGUGAAAGGCCAAUCAAACCGGGAGAUAGCUGGUUCUCCCCGAAAGCUAUUUAGGUAGCGCCUCGUGAAUUCAUCUCCGGGGGUAGAGCACUGUUUCGGCUAGGGGGCCAUCCCGGCUUACCAACCCGAUGCAAACUGCGAAUACCGGAGAAUGUUAUCACGGGAGACACACGGCGGGUGCUAACGUCCGUCGUGAAGAGGGAAACAACCCAGACCGCCAGCUAAGGUCCCAAAGUCAUGGUUAAGUGGGAAACGAUGUGGGAAGGCCCAGACAGCCAGGAUGUUGGCUUAGAAGCAGCCAUCAUUUAAAGAAAGCGUAAUAGCUCACUGGUCGAGUCGGCCUGCGCGGAAGAUGUAACGGGGCUAAACCAUGCACCGAAGCUGCGGCAGCGAACGUAUCACCCAAGACAACUUUACGGAGUUGACGAUUGACGGAGCGAAGCGACGUCAAAGCGUUCAUUAAAGUCGAGUUGGCUUAGGGAUACGUUCGUUGGGUAGGGGAGCGUUCUGUAAGCCUGUGAAGGUGUGUCGUGAGGCAUGCUGGAGGUAUCAGAAGUGCGAAUGCUGACAUAAGUAACGAUAAAGCGGGUGAAAAGCCCGCUCGCCGGAAGACCAAGGGUUCCUGUCCAACGUUAAUCGGGGCAGGGUGAGUCGACCCCUAAGGCGAGGCCGAAAGGCGUAGUCGAUGGGAAACGGGUUAAUAUUCCCGUACUUGGUGUUACUGCGAAGGGGGGACGGAGAAGGCUAUGUUGGCCGGGCGACGGUUGUCCCGGUUUAAGCGUGUAGGUGUGUGUUCCAGGUAAAUCCGGUU